AUAUAAAAACUGGCAAUUCAUAUUAUAAAAUGGAACAAAAAUGGGUGUCGCGUUUAUUCUUUAGAGAGUGUGUUUUCCUUUCAAGAAUGUAAUAUGAGAAAUCAUCUGCUUAGUUGGUGGUUGUAUUGAUGAUUCGGCCCUUAAUGGUUCAGACUUCCCGAAGGAGAAGAAGGAGGUGCGGAAAGAGGAUGGGAGCAACAAAUCUGAAUCAAAGAGUAUGCUUUGUUGUGGAUCUUCUAUGGAAUGUUGUUGCUAGUAACCAAGCAUGCUUUCUCUUUAGUUCCUCUAUGAAAGUAGCAUCAAAUUGGGAUUUUGUUGAUGAUUUGCAAAGCUUAAUUGAGACAUAAUUCUCUCAGUUCCCACUUUUGCAAAUCGUGAUUGUUAGUUGAAGUUAGUUGGUUCUCCCGAUCCCAGUUGCUUCUAAUGCAGGUCUGUAGUCCUGAGUUUAGUGGGUGAUUCUGUACGAUCUUGCGAUGAUUAUAACUGCAACACUUGAGGGUUGGUAGUAGCACAUGCCGAAGGCUUGAUGAACUCGUAUGGCUUUUGUUCUCCUUCUUUUGGAGGGGAGAACUCUUCCACUUGCUUCUGCCUUUUCAUCAGCUUCCAUGCUGCAGUUUGACAAUUUUUAUUUCGGUGAUAUUUUUUGGGUUCCCCUUUUCCAUCUUUUAUGUUUGUCGAUGGGUCAUUAAAACAGAAAACGGUGAUGUAUGAACCAUUUUCACCAAUGAUUUAUUCAUUGUGUCCACCAGUGAUCUUUUGAGAUACUGACGCUUUUUUUUGGAAUUAGGGGUGAGAAUUACUUAUCGAUGACUCGGGCAUCAACUCUUGAUUUUCGGCGGAAGACACAAGGUCAGAACAACUGGUCUGGGCCGUUGCGCCUAGUAAAUGUCAUCAGAAAUAAAUUCCCUACCUACAAGAAUGGUACGAAUGGGAUAGUCAUCAAAUUUGCUGAUGAGCCAGAAACGCCAUGACUUAAGGAGUCUGUUGCCAAAGAGACAGCAGAUCUGCUUGAUCGGCGUCAGCGUCUUUCAGUCCGCGAGCUCGCAAUGAAAUUUGAGAAGGGCCUCAGUACUGCCACAUUAUUAUCUAAUGAGGUUAAAUGUAAACAAGUGGCUUUAUUGGAGCGAGACAUCCUUCUGAAGAUCUAAAGAGUGUAUUGGAGUCACUGAGAGGACAAGUAGCUGGCAAAUAUAAGGAUGAAUUUGAGGAAUCAGUAUCUAUGGUGGAUAUUUUAGCAGUUCAGCUGUCCAAAAGAGAAAA
Non-coding RNA from Aegilops tauschii subsp. strangulata, 1260 nucleotides. NCBI's taxonomy places the organism in Eukaryota, Viridiplantae, Streptophyta, Magnoliopsida, Poales, Poaceae. The record is from RefSeq and is a predicted model, not a curated record.